This 382-nucleotide long non-coding RNA is filed under the name Panax ginseng (ginseng). RNAcentral describes it as "long non-coding RNA (PGIN_LNC000950)". The record is from RNAcentral. Lineage: Eukaryota; Viridiplantae; Streptophyta; Magnoliopsida; Apiales; Araliaceae.
UCCUGCCUUUCCUGGUAGCUCACAGUAGAUCAAAUUAAUGUCCAUUUUCUUGGGUCUAAAAUGGUAUGACAUUAAAUAUUUUAAUAAAGGUUGCAUCUAUACACAUAUCAAUUAAAUAUUUUAGUCCACUACCUGUCUCGUUACUGUUAAUAGUACUAGUAGUAGAGUUGAGCCUUAUUCACACUAGUUAAACCAACAUGUUCCGAUGUCGGACAAAAAUAUUACAAUUCAAUUAGUCACAGCCAAAGACGUUCCUUUCUAGCUAGUAAGCCAUUGUGAUUUGUAGGAUAAUACCAACUGUCCUUUCAAAAAUUUAGUGCCACCUUAACAUUCUAGCAGACAAUAUAUGACCCCUAAAAUACACAAAGAGUAGAAGAUAAUC